GACGAACGCUGGCGGCGUGCCUAAUACAUGCAAGUAGAACGCUGAAGGAGGAGCUUGCUUCUCUGGAUGAGUUGCGAACGGGUGAGUAACGCGUAGGUAACCUGCCUGGUAGCGGGGGAUAACUAUUGGAAACGAUAGCUAAUACCGCAUAAUAUUUACUAUUGCAUGAUAGUCAGUUGAAAGGUUCAACUGCACCACUACCAGAUGCACCUGCGUUGUAUUAGCUAGUGGGUGGGGUAACGCCUCCCCAAGGCGACGAGACAUAGCGGACCUGAGAGGGGGAUCGGCCACACUGGGAGUGUGACACGGCACAGAGUCCUACGGGAGGCAGCAGUAGGGAAUCUUGGGCAAUGAGCGGAGGUCUGACCGAGCAACGCCGAGGGCGUAAGGAAGGUCUUCGGAUCGUAAAGCUCUGUUGUAAGGGAAGAACGAGUGUGAGACUGGAAAGAUCACACUGUGACGGUAUCUUACCAGAAAGGGACGGCUAACUACGUG
This 495-nucleotide ribosomal RNA is filed under the name uncultured bacterium. RNAcentral's name for it is "partial 16S ribosomal RNA". It matches the Rfam family "Bacterial small subunit ribosomal RNA", at positions 28 to 507 of the family's 1533-position model. The record is from RNAcentral.